AGGCUUCGGGCGCGCCCCCCGUCUAAGUUCCCUGGAACGGGACGUCGGAGAGGGUGAGAAUCCCGUAUGUGACGGGGCGGCGUCGCCCGUGUGAAGCUCUUUCGACGAGUCGAGUUGUUUGGGAAUGCAGCUCAAAACGGGUGGUAAAUUUCAUCUAAAGCUAAAUACGGGCCAGAGACCGAUAGCGCACAAGUAGAGUGAUCGAAAGAUGAAAAGCACUUUGGAAAGAGAGUUAAACAGUACGUGAAAUUGUUGAAAGGGAAGCGCUGGCGACCAGACGUGCGCGUCGGUGAUCAUCCGGGGCUCGCCCCGGUGCACUCGGCGACGCGCAGGCCCGCAUCGGUUUGGGGGGCGGGACAAAGGCCCCUGGAAUGUAGCUCCCCCGGGAGUGUUAUAGCCAGGGGCGCCAUGCCGCCCCCCCAGACCGAGGACCGCGCUCCGGCUAGGAUGUGGGCGUAAUGGUCGUCAGCGACCCGUCUUGAAACACGGACCAAGGAGUCUAACAUCUAUGCGAGUGUUUGGGUGGCAAACCCACACGCGGAAUGAAAGUGAACGGAGGUGAGAGCCCGCACGGGCGCAUCAUCGACCGGUCCUGAUGUCUUCGGAUGGAUCUGAGUAAGAGCAUAGCUGUUGGGACCCGAAAGAUGGUGAACUAUGCCUGAAUAGGGUGAAGCCAGAGGAAACUCUGGUGGAGGCUCGCAGCGGUUCUGACGUGCAAAUCGAUCGUCAAAUUUGGGUAUAGGGGCGAAAGACUAAUCGAACCAUCUAGUAGCUGGUUCCUGCCGAAGUUUCCC
This 794-nucleotide ribosomal RNA is filed under the name Cyttaria hariotii. RNAcentral's name for it is "eukaryotic LSU rRNA". It matches the Rfam family "Eukaryotic large subunit ribosomal RNA", at positions 159 to 972 of the family's 3401-position model. The record is from RNAcentral. Lineage: Eukaryota; Fungi; Ascomycota; Leotiomycetes; Helotiales; Cyttariaceae.